Molecule: long non-coding RNA, 359 nt
Filed under: Erythranthe guttata (spotted monkey flower)
Lineage: Eukaryota; Viridiplantae; Streptophyta; Magnoliopsida; Lamiales; Phrymaceae
Description: long non-coding RNA (EGUT_LNC001141)
Source: RNAcentral
UUGUAGGUGGGGUUGGGGGUGUGCAGAUGGUGAAACACAAGUGAAGCAUAUGUGUAUUUAUUUAUUGGUAAUUGUUUGGAGGUAGAAAUUUUGAGCUGUUGAAAAUAGAGUUCCAUUAAAUCGCAUUUUAGUGCAUCUUCUCUCGUUUUGGAAUCAUGGAUAACUAUAAAACUUUAAAUUUAUUUUAAUUGUUGGUCAAGUUGUUUGUGACUUGUUUCUAUAUUGCAUUGAUUACUAUGGCCAAAUUAUUUACCUUUAGCUUGAAAUUAUAAUACUAUCGUCACCCCUUUGUUGAUUAACAAAGUCUAACGAACCCUUUGUUUUUGUCUAUGCAGUCUUUGGGACGUUGUAAGUGUAUA